This 1590-nucleotide ribosomal RNA is filed under the name Escherichia coli 2-177-06_S4_C3. RNAcentral describes it as "bacterial LSU rRNA". It matches the Rfam family "Bacterial large subunit ribosomal RNA", at positions 1354 to 2925 of the family's 2925-position model. The record is from RNAcentral. Lineage: Bacteria; Pseudomonadati; Pseudomonadota; Gammaproteobacteria; Enterobacterales; Enterobacteriaceae.
CCUGUCCAACGUUAAUCGGGGCAGGGUGAGUCGACCCCUAAGGCGAGGCCGAAAGGCGUAGUCGAUGGGAAACAGGUUAAUAUUCCUGUACUUGAUGUUACUGCGAAGGGGGGACGGAGAAGGCUAUGUUGGCCGGGCGACGGUUGUCCCGGUUUAAGCGUGUAGGCUGGUUUUCCAGGCAAAUCCGGAAAAUCAAGGCUGAGGCGUGAUGACGAGGCACUACGGUGCUGAAGCAACAAAUGCCCUGCUUCCAGGAAAAGCCUCUAAGCAUCAGGUAACAUCAAAUCGUACCCCAAACCGACACAGGUGGUCAGGUAGAGAAUACCAAGGCGCUUGAGAGAACUCGGGUGAAGGAACUAGGCAAAAUGGUGCCGUAACUUCGGGAGAAGGCACGCUGAUAUGUAGGUGAAGUCCCUCGCGGAUGGAGCUGAAAUCAGUCGAAGAUACCAGCUGGCUGCAACUGUUUAUUAAAAACACAGCACUGUGCAAACACGAAAGUGGACGUAUACGGUGUGACGCCUGCCCGGUGCCGGAAGGUUAAUUGAUGGGGUCAGCGCAAGCGAAGCUCUUGAUCGAAGCCCCGGUAAACGGCGGCCGUAACUAUAACGGUCCUAAGGUAGCGAAAUUCCUUGUCGGGUAAGUUCCGACCUGCACGAAUGGCGUAAUGAUGGCCAGGCUGUCUCCACCCGAGACUCAGUGAAAUUGAACUCGCUGUGAAGAUGCAGUGUACCCGCGGCAAGACGGAAAGACCCCGUGAACCUUUACUAUAGCUUGACACUGAACAUUGAGCCUUGAUGUGUAGGAUAGGUGGGAGGCUUUGAAGUGUGGACGCCAGUCUGCAUGGAGCCGACCUUGAAAUACCACCCUUUAAUGUUUGAUGUUCUAACGUUGACCCGUAAUCCGGGUUGCGGACAGUGUCUGGUGGGUAGUUUGACUGGGGCGGUCUCCUCCUAAAGAGUAACGGAGGAGCACGAAGGUUGGCUAAUCCUGGUCGGACAUCAGGAGGUUAGUGCAAUGGCAUAAGCCAGCUUGACUGCGAGCGUGACGGCGCGAGCAGGUGCGAAAGCAGGUCAUAGUGAUCCGGUGGUUCUGAAUGGAAGGGCCAUCGCUCAACGGAUAAAAGGUACUCCGGGGAUAACAGGCUGAUACCGCCCAAGAGUUCAUAUCGACGGCGGUGUUUGGCACCUCGAUGUCGGCUCAUCACAUCCUGGGGCUGAAGUAGGUCCCAAGGGUAUGGCUGUUCGCCAUUUAAAGUGGUACGCGAGCUGGGUUUAGAACGUCGUGAGACAGUUCGGUCCCUAUCUGCCGUGGGCGCUGGAGAACUGAGGGGGGCUGCUCCUAGUACGAGAGGACCGGAGUGGACGCAUCACUGGUGUUCGGGUUGUCAUGCCAAUGGCACUGCCCGGUAGCUAAAUGCGGAAGAGAUAAGUGCUGAAAGCAUCUAAGCACGAAACUUGCCCCGAGAUGAGUUCUCCCUGACUCCUUGAGAGUCCUGAAGGAACGUUGAAGACGACGACGUUGAUAGGCCGGGUGUGUAAGCGCAGCGAUGCGUUGAGCUAACCGGUACUAAUGAACCGUGAGGCUUAACCU